UGGAAUGGUUGUAAGAAGGUGCAAGAGGA
Molecule: non-coding RNA, 29 nt
Filed under: Mus musculus (house mouse)
Lineage: Eukaryota; Metazoa; Chordata; Mammalia; Rodentia; Muridae
Source: RNAcentral